This 404-nucleotide ribosomal RNA is filed under the name Actinomycetes bacterium. Its description in RNAcentral is "Actinobacteria bacterium partial 16S ribosomal RNA". It matches the Rfam family "Bacterial small subunit ribosomal RNA", at positions 355 to 776 of the family's 1533-position model. Lineage: Bacteria; Bacillati; Actinomycetota; Actinomycetes. The record is from RNAcentral.
UGGGGAAUAUUGGACAAUGGGCGCAAGCCUGAUCCAGCCAUGCCGCGUGAGUGAUGAAGGCCCUAGGGUUGUAAAGCUCUUUCACCGGUGAAGAUAAUGACGGUAACCGGAGAAGAAGCCCCGGCUAACUUCGUGCCAGCAGCCGCGGUAAUACGAAGGGGGCUAGCGUUGUUCGGAUUUACUUGGCGUAAAGCGCACGUAGGCGGACUAUUAAGUCAGGGGUGAAAUCCCGGGGCUCAACCCCGGAACUGCCUUUGAUACUGGUAGUCUUGAGUACGAGAGAGGUGAGUGGAAUUCCGGGUGUAGAGGUGAAAUUCGUAGAUAUUCGGAGGAACACCAGUGGCGAAGGCGGCAAACAGGCUCGUUACUGACGCUGAGGUGCGAAAGCGUGGGGAGCAAACAGG